CAAUAGCGUAUAUUUAAGUUGCUGCAGUUAAAAAGCUCGUAGUUGGAUUUCGGGUGGGACUGGCCGGUCCGCCGUUUCGGUGUGCACUUGCUACGCCCACCUUGCUGCCGGGGACGUGCUCUUGAGUUCACGCUCGGGACACGGAGUCGGCGAGGUUACUUUGAGUAAAUUAGAGUGUUCAAAGCAGGCCUACGCUCUGAAUACAUUAGCAUGGAAUAACACGAUAGGACUCUGGCCUAUCUUGUUGGUCUGUAGGACCGGAGUAAUGAUUAAGAGGGACAGUCGGGGGCAUUCGUAUUUCAUUGUCAGAGGUGAAAUUCUUGGAUUUAUGAAAGACGAACUACUGCGAAAGCAUUUGCCAAGGAUGUUUUCAUUAA
RNAcentral lists this ribosomal RNA (377 nucleotides) under uncultured eukaryote. Its description in RNAcentral is "partial 18S ribosomal RNA". It matches the Rfam family "Eukaryotic small subunit ribosomal RNA", at positions 592 to 976 of the family's 1831-position model. The record is from RNAcentral.